RNAcentral lists this long non-coding RNA (3090 nucleotides) under Podarcis lilfordi (Lilford's wall lizard). Lineage: Eukaryota; Metazoa; Chordata; Lepidosauria; Squamata; Lacertidae. The record is from RNAcentral.
AUAUAUGAAACAAAAAAAUUUUUAAAAAAGUGUAGUUUGGUCCAGACAAACAUAACAAAUUAUUAAAAAAGGUUUUGUUGUUUGGUCCUGACAAAGGUAACAUAUUUUAUAAAGAUCUUCAUUAAAAUUUAAGGUGUGUUAGAAGUUUUUAGGACAAAAGUUUAACAAAUGAAUUAAAUUUUAACAAGGGUUUAAACAAAAAAUUGCAGUAGCACUUUCAUUUUGAAUGGUGUAGUGUUGACUGUAGUUAACCGAUAAUUAAUCAGUUUAGUCGAAUCUCGUUUUAGGGGUUUGGCGAGAAAAAAAUUUGAUUAAACAUGAAAAAUUAUUGGUAGGGGGGUAGGGGGGUUUGCCAUAAAAAAAAUGUAUUUUUUUUUAGUUUAAUUUUAAUUUAUAUGGUUAAAUUUAGUAUUAUAAUUAAUUUAGUUGUUGUAGAAAAAAUAUUAAUAAUUUUUUUAGUUUCGUGUGAUGAGCACGGACGCGGAGUAUUGUGUAUAAAAUAUUGCAUUAGAGGUUUUUUUGAAAAUUUUGUUAAAAAUUUGUUAAAAUUUGUUGAAAUUUGUAUGGGAAAUUUUAGGGUUGCGUUCGUGGUAUAAAAAAAUAUGUCUAGCAAGCAUUAAGACAAUAAUACCAUAUAGAGAACUUGCGCGAAGACCAUUGCACUGUUAGUUCAGACUAAAACCGGAUUGGUAGGAGCACUUGAGAUGAGGUCUGAAGGGAAAGAGAAAUAAAAAAUACCAGCCGCCAGGAAAACCAGUUAUGCUAUGAGCAAGGGUAAGAGGGUAACUAACCCAUUAACCAGAGGCCUUGGAAAAGGUGAGAAAGUGGUGAUGGAGAGUAGAAUGGUCCUGACCUAACAACCAGAGGCCUUGGAAAAGGUGAGAAAGUGGUGCAACCUCAUGUUAUGGACGUGAGACUAGGGAGGGGGGCAUUAUGUGCAGGGGUUGAUGAUUCUCACGUGAGAAGCUAGAUUAUUGAUUUGUGGAUGGGCAUUGUUGUUGGCACUAUUUGUAGUAUUGGAGUUAACUCGUGGAUUAGUGCGAGGAGGUCUUCGUGCAGUUAGGUGUAUAUGAUUGUAAUAAAGCAUGCUGAAGUAAUAAUGAAAAUGUAAAGAUAGAAUUUCAUAAGGCCUUUCUGUGCUAAUGUGUUGGCUUUGAUGUUGGGAAGAUUUAAAGAAACCAGUCCUUUAGGUCCUGAUUUUUCUAAUCAAAGUAGAUCGUUAAUAUGAAGGGCUAUGUUUUGUCCUAUAAACAGAGAUGCUAAGGGAAUGAUGCGGUGAAGUGUUGGAUUAAAGAAGCCUAGUUGAUUAGAAAAUUCAUGGUGUUUUGAUCGUUUUGUGAUUAUAAGUCAGGUUGUUUUUUUUGCAAUUUGAAGGGCAAAAAGUGCUCCAAGGAUGGUAAUAAUAAUAGCAGUGAGUUUUAUAGAAGUUGGUAUUGUGGUUGGAGUUGGUUUUGUUGGGAGGAGGGUAAUUAUAAGGAUUAGGCCUGCCACAAGGCUUCCGAUGGCAAGACGAAUAAGUGGGUUAGAGAGGGUUGGUGGUAUAUCAUUUAUUGUUGAUGUUGUUGUUCGUGGUAAACUUAUUUGGACGUAGAAGGUUAUUCGUAUGGUGUAGGUGGCGGUUAAUAUAGUUGCAAAGAGUGUAAGUAUUAGGGCUCAGGCGUUUAGGUGGGAGUUAUUUAUAGUUUCAAUGAUUGUGUCUUUUGAGUAGAAGCCUGAUAAGAAAGGGGUUCCUGUUAAAGCAAGAUUACCAAUUGUAAGGCAGGUGGCUGUGGUAGGCAAUAUUUUUUGUAUACCUCCUAUUUUUCGGAUGUCUUGCUCGUUGUUAAGAUUAUGAAUAAUUGCACCAGAACAUAAGAAUAGUAUAGCUUUGAAAAAGGCAUGUGUUGAGAUGUGAAGAAAGGCAAGUUGUGGUUGGUUUAGGCCAAUGGUUACUAUUAUGAGGCCUAGUUGACUAGAGGUUGAGAAGGCAAUAAUUUUUUUAAUAUCAUUUUGUGUUAGGGCACAGAGAGCUGUAAAUAGUGUAGUGAGUGCCCCUAGACAAAGGCAGAUAGUUAAGGCUGUUUUGUUGUUUUGUAAAAUUGGAUGGAGUCGGAUGAGUAGGAAGAUGCCGGCUACGACUAUUGUGCUGGAAUGAAGUAGGGCUGAAACGGGGGUUGGGCCUUCUAUGGCAGCUGGAAGUCAGGGGUGGAGUCCAAAUUGCGCGGAUUUACCUGCGGAGGCAAGAAUAAGGCCGAAAAGAGGUAAAAGGGGGGGAGUUUUAGUUUCAAUUGUUAUUUCUUGAAUAUUUCAGGUUGCCAAGUGUAUUGCAAGUCAGGCGAGGGCUAGUAUUAAUCCAAUAUCACCUACACGAUUGAAGAUAAUGGCUUGAAGGGCUGCGGUAUUGGCGUCUGGACGGGUAAACCAUCAGCCGAUUAAUAUGAAGGAUAUGAUUCCUACGCUUUCUCAUCCAACAAACAGUUGGAAUAUAUUAUUGGCUGUAACAAGUGUUAGUAUAGCUAAUAAAAAGACUAAGAGGUAUUUGAAGAAUCGGGUUAUGUGGGGGUCUUGUGAUAUAUAUCAAUUAGCAAAUUCAAGAAUAGAUCAUGUAACGAAGAGGCUGAUUGGGAUAAAUGUGAGGGAGUACAUGUCUAGGACAAGGCUAACGUUGAUGUCUAUGUUGGCAAUGUUGGUUCAUGUAAAGUUGGUUGUGGAGGCUUCUAUCCCAUAGUUUAUAAAGAUAGUUAGGGGAAUAAGGCUGACUUUGAAUGCCAGUUGUACAGCAGUUUUUGCGUAAAGUAUACCUCACCCUAUUAUUAGGGGAAUUGGAUUUAUGGUUGUGAGAAUUGGGUGUGUUAAGAUGAAUAGGACUGUAAGCAGGGUUGAAUGUAGGAGAAGAUCGUGCAUUUUUACUUCUACUUGGAGUUGCACCAAGAUUUCUGGUACCUAAAACCAAUGGAUUUCUGCUUUCCUAUAGAGGUAAGAGGUCUGAGAAUUUUAUUCUUAGUUCUUUGAGUUAGCAGCUCUAAUUGUUAAUACACCUCUUGGUAAAUAAGAAGGUAGAACUUCUGUUUCUAGAGUCACAGUCUAGUGUUUUUGAUAAACUAUAUUUAC